CUCUGCCUGUUGGUAGACACUUGGGACCAUCUCUGUGACUUUUAGCAGUCUGCUGCCUACCUGACUGUUGUCUGCCUGGGCCUGGAAGGGAUUCCAAGCUCCCCUACCUGGAGUGGUGUGAUGAAUUCUCCCUUAGCCUACGGAGUACAUUUCAGUGGAGGUGGUUGGCUGCUGUUUUGUCUUAGUUAAGUUGUUUUUGGAUUUAAUCAUUUCAGUUCAUUUUAGUUUAAUCAUUUUAAGCUUUGUUAGUGCCCCCAGGACACCGCUGUUUGGUUUGCUUGUAUUUUAGGUUAUCAAGUGGUUUGUUUUCUUUAUUUAAAUUGUUAUUUUGCUUUGCAGUGGAGCUAGUAGCCAGCUUGUGGGGGGGCUAGGCACGUUAGUGUGGUUCCCUUUGCAGACUGUGGUGAUAACCGCACGGUGACACGAUUUGUGGUGACACGAUUUGCAGUGAACCGGUUUGCAGUGACUAUUGCAGUGGGCACAUGCAGUGGGUAAGUUGGUGUACCCCUGGCACACAGCCUUAGACUGUCUCUCCACUGCUGGCCUAUGCCCAGUUCCCUCCCCUCCCCUUUCCUUUGAUAUUUUAAGCCAU
This is a long non-coding RNA of Perca flavescens (yellow perch), 592 nucleotides long. RefSeq lists it as uncharacterized. The record is from RefSeq and is a predicted model, not a curated record. The transcript is spliced from 3 exons. NCBI's taxonomy places the organism in Eukaryota, Metazoa, Chordata, Actinopteri, Perciformes, Percidae.